AUCCUUGGAGCGAGCUGAGAGCUCGAGGUGAGCUGGGCUCGCGGUCGCCCCUCUCGCGCGCCCUCUUUAAGAACCACGGCGUCCAACCUCCCUGGAAAUGGGGGGAACAUGGCCGAGGCGCGUGGCGAGGCCGCCUCGUGGAGGCCCCGGAGCGGCAUCCUCAGCGCCCCAGCGAUCCGGUGCCCAUUAGAACCUGCUAAGGCCAUCAAACCUAUUGAUCGGAAGUCAGUCCAUCAGAUUUGCUCUGGGCCGGUGGUACCGAGUCUAAGCACUGCGGUGAAGGAGUUAGUAGAAAACAGUCUGGAUGCUGGUGCCACUAAUAUUGAUCUAAAGCUUAAGGACUAUGGAGUGGAUCUCAUUGAAGUUUCAGGCAAUGGAUGUGGGGUAGAAGAAGAAAACUUCGAAGGCUUAACUCUGAAACAUCACACAUCUAAGAUUCAAGAGUUUGCCGACCUACCUCAGUGAUGUCACCAUUUCUACCUGCCAUGUAUCGGCGAAGGUUGGGACUCGACUGGUGUUUGAUCACUAUGGGAAAAUCAUCCAGAAAACCCCCUACCCCCACCCCAGAGGGAUGACAGUCAGUGUGAAGCAGUUAUUUUCUACGCUACCUGUGCACCAUAAAGAAUUUCAAAGGAAUAUUAAGAAGAAACGUGCCUGCUUCCCCUUCGCCUUCUGCCGUGAUUGUCAGUUUCCUGAGGCCUCCCCAGCCAUGCUUCCUGUACAGCCUGCAGAACUGACUCCUAGAAGUACCCCACCCCACCCCUGCUCCUUGGAGGACAACGUGAUCACUGUAUUCAGCUCUGUCAAGAAUGGUCCAGGUUCUUCUAGAUGAUCUGCACAAAUGGCUCCUCUCCUCCUUCCUGAUGUCUGCCAUUAGCACUGGAAUAAAGUUCCUGCUGAAAAUCCA
This 907-nucleotide long non-coding RNA is filed under the name Homo sapiens (human). Its description in RNAcentral is "novel transcript". The record is from RNAcentral. Lineage: Eukaryota; Metazoa; Chordata; Mammalia; Primates; Hominidae.